Molecule: small RNA, 591 nt
Filed under: Pan troglodytes (chimpanzee)
Lineage: Eukaryota; Metazoa; Chordata; Mammalia; Primates; Hominidae
Description: processed transcript
Source: RNAcentral
GCUGUUCCUCAGCCACCCGCAGACCAAGACCUACUUCCCGCACUUCGACCUGCACCCGGGGUCCGCGCAGUUGCGCGCGCACGGCUCCAAGGUGGUGGCGCCGUGGGCGACGCGGUGAAGAGCAUCGACAACAUCGGCGGCGCCCUGUCCAAGCUGAGCGAGCUGCACGCCUACAUCCUGCGCGUGGACCCGGUGAACUUCAAGGCUCUUCACAGUGUACCCCAGCACCAAGGUCUACUUCCCGCACCUGAGCGCCUGCCAGGACGCGACGCAGCUGCUGAGCCACGGGCAGCGCAUGCUGGCGGCUGUGGGCGCGGCGGUGCGGCACAUGGACAACCUGCGCGCCGCGCUGAGCCCGCUGGCGGACCUGCACGCGCUCGUGCUGCGCGUGGACCCAGCCAACUUUCCGCUGCUAAUCCAGUGUUUCCACGUCGUGCUGGCCUCCCACCUGCAGGACGAGUUCACCGUGCAAAUGCAAGCGGCGUGGGACAAGUUCCUGACUGGUGUGGCCGUGGUGCUGACCGAAAAAUACCGCUGAGCCCUGUGCUGCGCAGGCCUUGGUCUGUGCCUGUCAAUAAACAGAGGCCCGAA